GACCAGGGAUAGCUCAGUCAGUAGAGCAUGAGACUCUGGAUCUCAGGGUUGUGGGUUCGAGUCCCACCUUGGGCG
Molecule: non-coding RNA, 75 nt
Organism: Podarcis lilfordi (Lilford's wall lizard)
Lineage: Eukaryota; Metazoa; Chordata; Lepidosauria; Squamata; Lacertidae
Source: the annotation of a GenBank genome assembly